Molecule: ribosomal RNA, 400 nt
Filed under: uncultured bacterium
Lineage: Bacteria
Description: bacterial SSU rRNA
Rfam family: Bacterial small subunit ribosomal RNA
Source: RNAcentral
UGGGGAAUAUUGCACAAUGGGCGCAAGCCUGAUGCAGCGACGUCGCGUGGAGGAUGAAGGUUUUCGGAUUGUAAACUCCUGUUAAACGGGAAGAAAGAACUGUGCCUAAUAAGUACGGGAGAUGACGUUACCGUUAAAGAAAGCACCGGCUAACUUCGUGCCAGCAGCCGCGGUAAUACGAAGGGUGCGAGCGUUAUUCGGAAUAACUGGGCGUAAAGGGCGCGUAGGCGGUUUUCUAAGUUGACGGUUAAAAGCCAUGGCUUAACCAUGGAGAUGCCGGCGAUACUGGAAUGACUAGAGGGUAGUAGAGAGGAGUGGAAUUCUCGGAGUAGCGGUAAAAUGCGUAGAUCUCGAGAGGAACACCGAUGGCGAAGGCAGCUCCUUGGGCUACAUCUGACGC